GGGAUUGUGGCUAGUACACCGCCGACCAGAGCGUGCGUCACCCGUUCCCUGAUAAGGAAGAGGCCGAUGGUUCAAGUCCAUCUAGGCCCA
RNAcentral lists this transfer RNA (90 nucleotides) under Actinomycetales bacterium. Its description in RNAcentral is "tRNA-Ile". It matches the Rfam family "tRNA". Rfam says of the family: Transfer RNA (tRNA) molecules are approximately 80 nucleotides in length. Their secondary structure includes four short double-helical elements and three loops (D, anti-codon, and T loops). Further hydrogen bonds mediate the characteristic L-shaped molecular structure. tRNAs have two regions of fundamental functional importance: the anti-codon, which is responsible for specific mRNA codon recognition, and the 3' end, to which the tRNAs corresponding amino acid is attached (by aminoacyl-tRNA synthetases). tRNAs cope with the degeneracy of the genetic code in two manners: having more than one tRNA (with a specific anti-codon) for a particular amino acid; and 'wobble' base-pairing, i.e. permitting non-standard base-pairing at the 3rd anti-codon position. The record is from RNAcentral. RNAcentral also lists the same sequence under 1 other name. Lineage: Bacteria; Bacillati; Actinomycetota; Actinomycetes; Actinomycetales.